RNAcentral lists this long non-coding RNA (348 nucleotides) under Ananas comosus (pineapple). Its description in RNAcentral is "long non-coding RNA (ACOM_LNC015574)". The record is from RNAcentral. Lineage: Eukaryota; Viridiplantae; Streptophyta; Magnoliopsida; Poales; Bromeliaceae.
UUUGGAUUUUUUUUUUUUUUUUUUUUUUUUUUUUUUUUUUUUUUUUUUACCCCCUCCGAGGUCUAUGUUGUCUCACUGCUGUAGUUUAGUUCAUCUUUUCAAUGAAUGAAGCAGAUAACGUGCUAUCUAUUUUUCAAAAAAAAAAAAAUUCUGUUCAACAAUAAUAGACCAAAAGGACUAAUAAGUUGAAUAGGACUACACUCCAUAAUAGAUCUAAUGGUAGAUAAGAGAUUCAAAAAUAGACCUAACGUUCAGAUAAAUUGAACCAGGUCGAAAUUCGUAAGCACUGUGACUACGAUUGGUACGUCUUUUCUAUCAGCAUGUGUGUUUGAAUUAGUUGGUUAGUAG